This 482-nucleotide ribosomal RNA is filed under the name uncultured bacterium. RNAcentral's name for it is "partial 16S ribosomal RNA". It matches the Rfam family "Bacterial small subunit ribosomal RNA", at positions 28 to 507 of the family's 1533-position model. The record is from RNAcentral.
GACGAACGCUGGCGGCGUGCUUAACACAUGCAAGUCGAACGCUGAAGCUCAGCUUUUGUUGGGUGGAUGAGUGGCGAACGGGUGAGUAACACGUGAGUAACCUGCCCCCUUCUUUGGGAUAACGCCCGGAAACGGGUGCUAAUACUGGAUAUUCACUGGUCUUCGCAUGGGGUUGGUGGAAAGGGUUUUUCUGGUGGGGAAUGGGCUCGCGGCCUAUCAGCUUGUUGGUGGGGUGAUGGCCUACCAAGGCUUUGACGGGUAGCCGGCCUGAGAGGGUGACCGGUCACAUUGGGACUGAGAUACGGCCCAGACUCCUACGGGAGGCAGCAGUGGGGAAUAUUGCACAAUGGGCGCAAGCCUGAUGCAGCGACGCCGCGCGAGGGAUGGAGGCCUUCGGGUUGUGAACCUCUUUCGCUCAUGGUCAAGCCGCAACAAUGGUUGUGGUGAGGGUAGUGGGUAAAGAAGCGCCGGCUAACUACGUG